RNAcentral lists this transfer RNA (71 nucleotides) under Camelus bactrianus (Bactrian camel). It matches the Rfam family "tRNA". Rfam says of the family: Transfer RNA (tRNA) molecules are approximately 80 nucleotides in length. Their secondary structure includes four short double-helical elements and three loops (D, anti-codon, and T loops). RNAcentral also lists the same sequence under 2 other names. The record is from Rfam by way of RNAcentral. Lineage: Eukaryota; Metazoa; Chordata; Mammalia; Artiodactyla; Camelidae.
GAGGGUACAGCUCAGUGGUAGAGUGUGUGCUUAGCAUGCACAAGGUCCUGGGUUCAAUCCCCAGUACCUCA